GCCUGGGUGGCUCAGUCGGUUAAGCGUCCGACUUCAGCUCGGGUCAUGAUCUCACGGUCCGUGGGUUCGAGCCCCGCAUCAGGCU
RNAcentral lists this transfer RNA (85 nucleotides) under Felis catus (domestic cat). It matches the Rfam family "tRNA". Rfam says of the family: Transfer RNA (tRNA) molecules are approximately 80 nucleotides in length. Their secondary structure includes four short double-helical elements and three loops (D, anti-codon, and T loops). Further hydrogen bonds mediate the characteristic L-shaped molecular structure. tRNAs have two regions of fundamental functional importance: the anti-codon, which is responsible for specific mRNA codon recognition, and the 3' end, to which the tRNAs corresponding amino acid is attached (by aminoacyl-tRNA synthetases). tRNAs cope with the degeneracy of the genetic code in two manners: having more than one tRNA (with a specific anti-codon) for a particular amino acid; and 'wobble' base-pairing, i.e. permitting non-standard base-pairing at the 3rd anti-codon position. RNAcentral also lists the same sequence under 1 other name. The record is from Rfam by way of RNAcentral. Lineage: Eukaryota; Metazoa; Chordata; Mammalia; Carnivora; Felidae.